UGGGGAAUAUUGCACAAUGGGCGCAAGCCUGAUGCAGCCAUGCCGCGUGUGUGAAGAAGGCCUUCGGGUUGUAAAGCACUUUCAGCGAGGAGGAAGGUGGUGGACUUAAUACGUUCAUCAAUUGACGUUACUCGCAGAAGAAGCACCGGCUAACUCCGUGCCAGCAGCCGCGGUAAUACGGAGGGUGCAAGCGUUAAUCGGAAUUACUGGGCGUAAAGCGCACGCAGGCGGUUUGUUAAGUCAGAUGUGAAAUCCCCGGGCUCAACCUGGGAACUGCAUUUGAAACUGGCAAGCUAGAGUCUCGUAGAGGGGGGCUAGAAUUCCAGGUGUAGCGGUGAAAUGCGGUAGAGAUCUGGAGGAAUACCGGUGGCGAAGGCGGCCCCCUGGACGAAGACUGACGCUCAGGUGCGAAAGCGUGGGGCAGCAAACAGGAUUAGAUACCCUGGUAGUCCACGCUGUAAACGAUGUCGAUUUGGAGGUUGUGCCCUUGAGGCGUGGCUUCCGGAGCUAACGCGUUAAAUCGACCGCCUGGGGAGUACGGCCGCAAGGUUAAAACUCAAAGGAAUUGAC
Molecule: ribosomal RNA, 570 nt
Filed under: uncultured bacterium
Lineage: Bacteria
Description: partial 16S ribosomal RNA
Rfam family: Bacterial small subunit ribosomal RNA
Source: RNAcentral